RNAcentral lists this ribosomal RNA (559 nucleotides) under uncultured bacterium. RNAcentral's name for it is "partial 16S ribosomal RNA". It matches the Rfam family "Bacterial small subunit ribosomal RNA", at positions 355 to 905 of the family's 1533-position model. The record is from RNAcentral.
UGGGGAAUAUUGGACAAUGGGCGCAAGCCUGAUCCAGCCAUGCCGCGUGUGUGAAGAAGACCUUCGGGUUGUAAAGCACUUUUGUCCGGAAAGAAAUCCUGUCGGCUAAUACCCGGCGGGGAUGACGGUACCGGAAGAAUAAGCACCGGCUAACUUCGUGCCAGCAGCCGCGGUAAUACGAAGGGUGCAAGCGUUACUCGGAAUUACUGGGCGUAAAGCGUGCGUAGGUGGUUUGUUAAGUCUGAUGUGAAAGCCCUGGGCUCAACCUGGGAACUGCAUUGGAUACUGGCUUACUAGAGUGCGGUAGAGGGUGGCGGAAUUCCCGGUGUAGCAGUGAAAUGCGUAGACAUCGGGAGGAACAUCCGUGGCGAAGGCGGCCACCUGGACCAGCACUGACACUGAGGCACGAAAGCGUGGGGAGCAAACAGGAUUAGAUACCCUGGUAGUCCACGCCCUAAACGAUGCGAACUGGAUGUUGGGAGCAACUAGGCUCUCAGUAUCGAAGCUAACGCGUUAAGUUCGCCGCCUGGGAAGUACGGUCGCAAGACUGAAACUUAAA